CAGUGCAACAAUGAAAGGGCA
RNAcentral lists this microRNA (21 nucleotides) under Salmo salar (Atlantic salmon). Its description in RNAcentral is "ssa-miR-130a-3p". Its record names the gene ssa-miR-130a-3p. The record is from miRBase by way of RNAcentral. Lineage: Eukaryota; Metazoa; Chordata; Actinopteri; Salmoniformes; Salmonidae.